AUUAAACGCUGGCGGCAUGCCUUACACAUGCAAGUCGAACGGCAGCACGGGGCAACCUGGUGGCGAGUGGCGAACGGGUGAGUAAAGCAUCGGAACGUGCCCUGGAGUGGGGGAUAACGUAGCGAAAGUUACGCUAAUACCGCAUAUUCUGUGAGCAGGAAAGCAGGGGAUCGCAAGACCUUGCGCUCUGGGAGCGGCCGAUGUCGGAUUAGCUAGUUGGUGGGGUAAAGGCCUACCAAGGCGACGAUCCGUAGCGGGUCUGAGAGGAUGAUCCGCCACACUGGGACUGAGACACGGCCCAGACUCCUACGGGAGGCAGCAGUGGGGGAAUUUU
RNAcentral lists this ribosomal RNA (334 nucleotides) under uncultured bacterium. RNAcentral's name for it is "bacterial SSU rRNA". It matches the Rfam family "Bacterial small subunit ribosomal RNA", at positions 30 to 366 of the family's 1533-position model. The record is from RNAcentral.